AUGGGCACGUCAAAUGUUCAUGGAAAUCUUCAUGACGUCUGCAUGGAGUAUUUGGAAAGAACGCAAUGGCAAGAUCUUCCAAGGGAUCCCACCGCCGCAUGCAUCCUGGGGAAGGAAGCGGUUGGCGGGAGGGACAUUUCAGCCCGCGCCCUUUCCCCACCUACUUCCGCCGCCGCCCGCCAUUGGUUUCGCCCGUCCGCCAUCGGCGAUUCCAGCCAAAUCUACGUGCGGAAUCGCGCCGCGGGGGUGUCCCCCACCCUCCACCACCGAUACGCUGCACCGCCCCCCGGAUCCGGCGAGACGAGCCGCCCCUGGUCGCCGUCGCUGCCGGGGAUCGACCGCCCUCGAGCCGCCCCUAGUCGCCGCCCAGGAUCGCCCACCCCACGAGCCGCGAUGGAAUUGAGCCCAUGCAAGAAGUUUUUGCUCAACGAUUCGUCCGAUUCGGACGACUCAGAUGUUGAGACGCUGCUUGCAAACUAUCGGCAGCAGACGUUGGUGAUGGCUCUUGCCGUGAAGGAGCACGAAGACGAGAACCGAAAGAGAUGGCGAGGAUCGACAUCGGGCGUCUUUGCAUUCCUAGGAAUCUCCAUCUCGGAAAUGAGAUUUCUACCUUCAUCCAACGGAAGCAGUAGUAGUGUUCUCAGGUUUGGUAGCUUUUUCUCUGUACAAAAAGGUAGCAAGGUUCAACUAUCCAAGCCGACUUGGCAGCUGGGGCACCGGUCCAUCCUGGAGCGUUGGCCUUGCCCUAAUGAGGUUGGGCAACUCGGCUCCAUGAUGCUCCCUAGAUGGCUUCCUUCGAUGGCCGGUCAACGUGGUCUUUUCUUUGUUGCCUGCCGUUGGAUCGUCGCUGUGAUUCAACCUCUGCCGUUUUCACCGCGCGGUCGUUUUGGCGCGGCCAAUGACCUCCUAACCUGCCGCGCCGCGUGGGCGCGCUUUGUGUUGCGGGGGAGCCGCGGAAGGUGCUGCCCCCGGUCCCGCUCAUCAGCUGUGGUGGCUCAUUUCUCGUAUAUAGCGUAUUUUCUGGUUACCUCGGUCAACCGCGCCUGGCGCAGCGCUCCUCACGCGCUUCCCGCGUCCUGCGUCGUGGGGAGUUGCUGUGUCCCGCGUCAGCUGCAGAGUGGUGGGUCGACACAUUGCGCGUGUAUGCCUUUCCCGUGCGCGGUGUUGCGUCUCGUCUGCAUUUGCAGUUGGAGACAGAAGAUGGACUGCAGCUACUCGAUGCAUCGUGCGUGCCUCACCUCCAUCUGCACUUGGACAGAGAGAUGGACUGGCGCCUAUGACGCCAUGGUCGACUCCGCGGCCGUCGCCGUCGGCGAGCCCGGGUGCACGGUGGCGCUCACGGACCACCACUGCUGCGUCGACGCUUCAGCGAGUCCUGCGACCGAGCCGAGGGCCUCGUCCAGGUGGCCGCCGCCGGCCUCGGCCCCGCCGCCUCCCGCCACAACGAGCUGUUCCGCGCGCUCGUGGACCUCCACCGCUGCCUCGACGCCUUCAGCGAGUCCCGCGACCGAGCCAAGGGCCUCGUCCAGGCGGCUGCCAUGGCCCCGCCGCCUCCCACCACGACAAGCGGUUCCGCGCCGUGCGCGUGGUCGACGAAGAUCUCCGGGCCGCCGCUGCCGGCUGGGAGGAGAACGAGAUGGAAGAGGAGAAGAAUCGCCCUCCGACCACGCUGCUGGCAGCCGAGGACAAAUAGGCCAAUCGAUCUACCUCGUCUCCUAUUCAGGAGAGAUGGACCGGGAUGUUUUGCCUCGGCGUGCCACAUGGUGGCCGAGAUGCGGCAGCCCCAUGCUCUGUUCUGAUGGGCCUCCUCUGGUCGAUGGUUGCCGCUGGUUGAGUUUGGUACGGUUUCCUGUUGUCGCUUGCGUCGAGCCCUGGGUCCGUCUCUCCUUCUCAUUGAGCUUGUUCUACGAUUCAGCCUACUUCUCCUGUCGCUGGCGCUUCUUCUUAUCGUCCGUCCUGCUGCUUAACCAGCGUGCUUCUGCUUGCUGCCUCGGGUUGUACGAUCUCUUCUGUCGCUGCGUCGUUCGACUCAUCAAGGUUUUCUUCUUUCCUUUCUACUACAUGAUGUGUAUUCUUGUUUCCGUUGUUAUACCAGUUUUGGAGGCCGUGGUAACUCGAUGCCCCCCGCGCUCACUCUUUCUGUUGUACACAGAAGCGUAUUUGUCCAAUUCUCAGACUAAGUUUUUGAAAGAAACCGCAGUUCAUUACAAUGCCAAUUAUGGAUAUGGAUCCAUCUUGCUGUGCUGGAUGAAGGACUGGAUGUCACGACUGAUGAAGUUACUUCCUUUUGGUGAAGGUCUGAAUAUCAUCAGGGUCUUGGCUGAGAGGCUGACAUUUCGGAAGGCCAAAAAGGCGGAGACGAGUCAUGGAUCCUCCAGGCUAUGGCUGCUGGUUGCAGACAGGGUUAUCUUUAGCUUGGAAAAAAAUGAAUGGACGAGCUUCAGUAUGACAAGGAGAAAGCAAUCUUGUUCAGUUUUAAUCAGAACAGAUGAAGGACAACCAUAUAUAUGUGUGGUUUCUGAUAUGUGCCGAGCAUGUUUUGAUAGGAUAUUUUCUAUGUGGAGCAGUCAUGGGCCUGUUAUAGAGAUCUUGGUGAAGAACUCGUCACUGCAAUUUUGUCAAAUGGGCGUUGAGAUUGAAGUUUCUGCUUUUGUUGACUUUCUGAUAAAUUACAACAACAUCGACAAGUCUCCAUGGAAGCAUCAGCCGGAUUUGGCCGGCUCACAUACGCACGCCUCCUCUUUCCCUGGUGGCUCAUGGAAGCGGCGGCGUACGAUGAUGGCUUCCAUAUGGAGUAGAGGAAUCAUCACAGAUGGUUCUUAUGUUACAUGUCCAAAGGAGAGCAUUGUUUCACGGAAGCAUGGGAUAACACCCACGCCAGUGACCAGUGAAGAAAGGGCUCAUGAACAAGAUGAAUAACUUUCAACCAUUUUAUGUUUACAGGGAAAGACACUUUUUGUUAAAUUAGUCUUGUCGAUUUUCGUCUGUGUUAUUGUAUUCUAUCUCUUCUAUUAUAUCCAAAUCACUAUAUGAUGUAAUUGACCACUCUUAUUAAGAACUGGGCACAGUGGUUUAUGUGUAUAUACAUCUAUUGUAGAUAGCAAGCCCCCGCUUUCCUCAACUAAGAGAG
Molecule: ribosomal RNA, 3130 nt
Filed under: Triticum aestivum (bread wheat)
Lineage: Eukaryota; Viridiplantae; Streptophyta; Magnoliopsida; Poales; Poaceae
Description: partial small subunit ribosomal RNA
Source: RNAcentral